CCCUAUGGGGUGCACCAGGUUGCUAUAACGUAGAUAAUAUUAAAAUUGACAGUAUUUCUGCUCUCACCAACAAUACGUUUACCAGUGCUAAUCGAGGAUUUGGAGCUAAUCAGGUAAAUUUUGCUUCUGAGCUCCAGAUGGACGAGGCAGCAGCCCGGCUUGGUAUAUCUCCUUUGGAAAUUAGGCUAAAAAAUUGUCUCAGGAAUGGAGACGAGUUGUGUACCGGGUUUAUCCCUCAAGGUCAUAUUGCUUUAGAGGAAAUAGCCAAAAAGGCUUGGGAUGCUUUAGAAAAAACAGGCCCGAAACAGGAAUAUAUUGACGGCAAGAAGAUCGGCCGUGGUUUGGCCAUCGGUAUGAUGAGCUAUGGCAGGUUGUGUUUUCUCCAUGAUUCUUCCCGGGUAGGUAUUAGAAUUGAGCUGGAUGGAAGUGUUACUCUUCGGGCAGGAGUUCCUGAUUUAGGCGGGAGGGC
RNAcentral lists this ribosomal RNA (469 nucleotides) under uncultured prokaryote. Its description in RNAcentral is "partial 16S ribosomal RNA". The record is from RNAcentral.